Molecule: transfer RNA, 35 nt
Filed under: Dactylis glomerata (orchard grass)
Lineage: Eukaryota; Viridiplantae; Streptophyta; Magnoliopsida; Poales; Poaceae
Also listed under: 1 other name
Description: partial tRNA-Leu
Source: RNAcentral
AAUCCGUCGACUUUAUAAGUCGUGAGGGUUCAAGU